Molecule: ribosomal RNA, 776 nt
Filed under: uncultured Neocallimastigales
Lineage: Eukaryota; Fungi; Neocallimastigomycota; Neocallimastigomycetes; Neocallimastigales
Description: partial large subunit ribosomal RNA
Rfam family: Eukaryotic large subunit ribosomal RNA
Source: RNAcentral
CUAUACAUGACUCUGCGCAUAUCAAUAAGCGGAGGAAAAGAAACUAACAAGGAUUCCCCUAGUAACGGCGGAGUGAAGCGGGAAGAGCUCAAAUUUGAAAUCUUAAAGGGUUUCCCUUUACGAAUUGUAGUUUAAAGAAGUGUUUUCUGUUGAGGUUUUGGUAAAAGUUCUUUGGAAUAGGACAUCAUAGAGGGUGAGAAUCCCGUAUUUGACCUUUACUUUCAACUUUGUGAUACACUUUCAAAGAGUCGGAUUGUUUGGGAAUGCAGUCCAAAAUGGGUGGUAAAUUUCAUCUAAAGCUAAAUAUUGGCGAGAGACCGAUAGCGAACAAGUACCGUGAGGGAAAGAUGAAAAGAACUUUGAAAAGAGAGUUAAACAGUACGUGAAAUUGUCAAAAGGGAAGCGUUUGACACCAGUGUUGUUUUUCUGAAAAUCAAUUAAAGAACUGUUUAUGCUAAGCUGUUUAGACUUUAUCAGCUAAUCUGUUUAGUUUUGAGCUUUUCUUUAAUGCACUUUUCAGUUAACAAGUCAACAUCAAUUUCUUUUGCUGUAAAAAAGCUUGAGGAAGGUGGCUUGAGAUUCGUCUUAAGUGUUUAUAGCCUCUUGCCUAUGCAGUCGGAGAGAUUGAGGUCUGCAGCGUAGAUCCUUCGGGGCUAAAUGCAUUUGUGCUAAGUUAUAGCAUUUUAUAGACAACUUGUUGACUAUGAUUUGUCUUGUAGCUUACUCGCUUAUGUUAUUUUACCUACGCUUAGGAUGUUGAUCUACAGAGCGAGAGU